CCUACGGGUGGCAGCAGUAGGGAAUAUUGCUCAAUGGGGGAAACCCUGAAGCAGCAACGCCGCGUGGAGGAUGAAGGUUUUCGGAUUGUAAACUCCUUUUGUUAGAGAAGAUAAUGACGGUAUCUAACGAAUAAGCACCGGCUAACUCCGUGCCAGCAGCCCCGGUAAUACGGAGGGGGCAAGGGUUAACCGGAUUUACGGGGCGUAAAGGGGGCGUAGGGGGGAUAGCAAGUCAGAUGUGAAAGCCCAGGGCUUAACCAUGGAACUGCAUUUGAAACUGGUAUUCUAGAGUAUGGGAGAGGUAGGUGGAAUUCUUGGUGUAGGGGUAAAAUGCGUAGAGAUCAAGAGGAACACUCAUUGCGAAGGCGACCUGCUAGAACAUAACUGACGCUGAUGCGCGAAAGCGUGGGGAGCAAACAGGAUUAGAUACCCCGGUAGUC
RNAcentral lists this ribosomal RNA (440 nucleotides) under uncultured bacterium. RNAcentral describes it as "partial 16S ribosomal RNA". It matches the Rfam family "Bacterial small subunit ribosomal RNA", at positions 338 to 795 of the family's 1533-position model. The record is from RNAcentral.